RNAcentral lists this ribosomal RNA (451 nucleotides) under uncultured bacterium. RNAcentral describes it as "partial 16S ribosomal RNA". It matches the Rfam family "Bacterial small subunit ribosomal RNA", at positions 354 to 796 of the family's 1533-position model. The record is from RNAcentral.
GUGGGGAAUAUUGGACAAUGGGGGGAACCCUGAUCCAGCCAUGCCGCGUGUGUGAAGAAGGCCUUUUGGUUGUAAAGCACUUUAAGCGAGGAGGAGGCUCUUCUAGUUAAUACCUAGGAUGAGUGGACGUUACUCGCAGAAUAAGCACCGGCUAACUCUGUGCCAGCAGCCGCGGUAAUACAGAGGGUGCGAGCGUUAAUCGGAUUUACUGGGCGUAAAGCGUACGUAGGCGGCUUUUUAAGUCGGAUGUGAAAUCCCUGAGCUUAACUUAGGAAUUGCAUUCGAUACUGGGAAGCUAGAGUAUGGGAGAGGAUGGUAGAAUUCCAGGUGUAGCGGUGAAAUGCGUAGAGAUCUGGAGGAAUACCGAUGGCGAAGGCAGCCAUCUGGCCUAAUACUGACACUGAGGUGCGAAAGCAUGGGGAGCAAACAGGAUUAGAAACCCUGGUAGUCC